GAUGAACGCUGGCGGCGUGCCUAAUACAUGCAAGUCGAGCGAACAGACGAGGAGCUUGCUCCUCUGACGUUAGCGGCGGACGGGUGAGUAACACGUGGAUAACCUACCUAUAAGACUGGGAUAACUUCGGGAAACCGGAGCUAAUACCGGAUAAUAUAUUGAACCGCAUGGUUCAAUAGUGAAAGACGGUUUUGCUGUCACUUAUAGAUGGAUCCGCGCCGCAUUGGCUAGUUGGUAAGGUAACGGCUUACCAAGGCGACGAUGCGUAGCCGACCUGAGAGGGGGGUCGGCCACACGGGAGGGGAGACGGGGUCCAGAGGCCGGAGGGAGGCAGCAGUAGGGAAUCUGCCGCAAUGGGCGAAAGCCUGACGGAGCAGCGCCGCGUGAGUGAUGAAGGUCUUCGGAUCGUAAAACUCUGUUAUUAGGGAAGAACAAAUGUGUAAGUAACUAUGCACGUCUUGACGGUACCUAAUCAGAAAGCCACGGCUAACUACGUG
This 497-nucleotide ribosomal RNA is filed under the name uncultured bacterium. RNAcentral's name for it is "partial 16S ribosomal RNA". It matches the Rfam family "Bacterial small subunit ribosomal RNA", at positions 28 to 507 of the family's 1533-position model. The record is from RNAcentral.